ACAAACUUGGUCAUUUAGAGGAAGUAAAAGUCGUAACAAGGUCUCCGUAGGUGAACCUGCGGAGGGAUCAUUACCGAGUGAGGGCCUCCAGGCCCGACCUCCCAACCCCAUGUUACCCGACACUGUUGCCUCGGGGGCGACCCGGCCCUUCUGGCGUCGGGGCCCCCGGUGGACUGUCAAACGCUGCAUCUGUGCGUCCGAGUCAGAUGAUGAAUCAAUCAAAACUUUCAACAACGGAUCUCUUGGUUCUGGCAUCGAUGAAGAACGCAGC
This 271-nucleotide unclassified non-coding RNA is filed under the name uncultured fungus. RNAcentral's name for it is "partial contains small subunit ribosomal RNA, internal transcribed spacer 1, and 5.8S ribosomal RNA". The stretch from base 1 to 73 matches the Rfam family "Eukaryotic small subunit ribosomal RNA", at positions 1759 to 1831 of the family's 1831-position model. The record is from RNAcentral. Lineage: Eukaryota; Fungi.